RNAcentral lists this ribosomal RNA (646 nucleotides) under uncultured fungus. RNAcentral's name for it is "eukaryotic LSU rRNA". The stretch from base 264 to 417 matches the Rfam family "5.8S ribosomal RNA". The record is from RNAcentral. Lineage: Eukaryota; Fungi.
GGAAGGAUCAUUAUUGAAUAAACUUGAGCAGGCUGUUGCUGGCCUCCCUUCUUGGGAGGUAUGUGCACGCUUGUCAUCUUUAUUUCUCCAACUGUGCACAUCUUGUAGACUUGGAAUUUUUUGAAUUGUUCGAUUGAGGACUGCUGUGCCUUCAAAGAAAGUCAGCUUUGCCUUGCAUUUCCAAGUCUAUGUUAUUUUCACAACCUCUGAAAUAUGUUUUAGAAUGUUUAAUUGGGUCAUUUGUACCUAUAAAAGUUAUAUACAACUUUCAGCAACGGAUCUCUUGGCUCUCGCAUCGAUGAAGAACGCAGCGAAAUGCGAUAAGUAAUGUGAAUUGCAGAAUUCAGUGAAUCAUCGAAUCUUUGAACGCACCUUGCGCUCCUUGGUAUUCCGAGGAGCAUGCCUGUUUGAGUGUCAUUAAGCUCUCAACUACACUAGUUCUAUAGUGUGGCUUGGAUAUGGGGGUUUUAUUUUGCAGGCUUUGGAAACAAAGUCGGCUCCCCUAAAAUGUAUUAGUAGUAUCUGAGCAGAAACUACCACAGGUGUGAUAAUUAUCUAUGCCUUGGUGUACUGUAUAAACAGAUUACACUGCUUCUAACAAGUGAAGCCAGUUGGCCACAUUUGACAUAUUUGACCUCAAAUCAGG